Molecule: microRNA, 22 nt
Filed under: Monodelphis domestica (gray short-tailed opossum)
Lineage: Eukaryota; Metazoa; Chordata; Mammalia; Didelphimorphia; Didelphidae
Description: mdo-miR-7398u-3p
Source: miRBase by way of RNAcentral
UAAUUUUCUUAUCUCUCGAAGU